RNAcentral lists this ribosomal RNA (269 nucleotides) under uncultured prokaryote. RNAcentral describes it as "partial 16S ribosomal RNA". It matches the Rfam family "Archaeal small subunit ribosomal RNA", at positions 474 to 743 of the family's 1478-position model. The record is from RNAcentral.
AACCAGCACUUCAAGUGGUCGGGACGUAUAUUGGGUCUAAAGCGCUCGUAGCUGGGCAAGUAGGUUCCUGGUUAAAUCCGGCGACUCAAUCGUCGGCCUGCUGGGAAUACCGCUAGUCUUGAAAGCGGGAGAGGACAGCGGUAGUCAUGGGGCAGGGGUGAAAUCCAGUGAUCCCAUGGCGACCACCGAUGGCGAAGGCAGCUGUCUGGAACGUCUUUGACAGUGAGGGGCGACAGCCAGGGGAGCGACCCGGAUUAGAUACCCUCGUA